UUACGGUCAUAUCAGGUUGAAACACCAGUUCACGUACGAUCACCAAAGUUAAGCAACAGCUAGACUGGUCAGUACCUACAUGGGUGACCACUUAAGAAUACCAGAUGUUGUAAG
Acanthosepion pharaonis is the source of this 114-nucleotide non-coding RNA. The record is from the annotation of a GenBank genome assembly. Lineage: Eukaryota; Metazoa; Mollusca; Cephalopoda; Sepiida; Sepiidae.